RNAcentral lists this transfer RNA (84 nucleotides) under Caldifarciminota bacterium. RNAcentral describes it as "candidate division WOR-3 bacterium (hot springs metagenome) tRNA-Ser". It matches the Rfam family "tRNA". Rfam says of the family: Transfer RNA (tRNA) molecules are approximately 80 nucleotides in length. Their secondary structure includes four short double-helical elements and three loops (D, anti-codon, and T loops). Lineage: Bacteria; Pseudomonadati; Caldifarciminota. The record is from RNAcentral.
GGAGGGCUAGUCCUAAUUGGUAAGGCAGCGGACUUGAAAUCCGCCGGGAGCAAUCCCAUGGGGGUUCGAAUCCCUCGCCCUCCG